UACGAUUGUUACUUACUAUUUGCUGUGU
RNAcentral lists this small RNA (28 nucleotides) under Bombyx mori (domestic silkworm). RNAcentral describes it as "piRNA piR-bmo-2006476". Lineage: Eukaryota; Metazoa; Arthropoda; Insecta; Lepidoptera; Bombycidae. The record is from RNAcentral.